CGUUUGACGUUAGCAACAGAAGAAGCACCGGCUAACUCCGUGCCAGCAGCCGCGGUAAUACGGAGGGUGCGAGCGUUAAUCGGAAUUACUGGGCGUAAAGCGCAUGCAGGUGGUCUGUUAAGCAAGAUGUGAAAGCCCGGGGCUCAACCUCGGAACAGCAUUUUGAACUGGCAGACUAGAGUACUGUAGAGGGGGGUAGAAUUUCAGGUGUAGCGGUGAAAUGCGUAGAGAUCUGAAGGAAUACCGGUGGCGAAGGCGGCCCCCUGGACAGAUACUGACACUCAGAUGCGAAAGCGUGGGGAGCAAACAGGAUUAGAUACCCUGGUAGUCCACGCCGUAAACGAUGUCUACUUGGAGGUUGUGGCCUUGAGCCGUGGCUUUCGGAGCUAACGCGUUAAGUAGACCGCCUGGGGAGUACGGUCGCAAGAUUAAAACUCAAAUGAAUUGACGGGGGCCCGCACAAGCGGUGGAGCAUGUGGUUUAAUUCGAUGCAACGCGAAGAACCUUACCUACUCUUGACAUCCAGAGAA
Molecule: ribosomal RNA, 530 nt
Filed under: Photobacterium sp. GB-1
Lineage: Bacteria; Pseudomonadati; Pseudomonadota; Gammaproteobacteria; Vibrionales; Vibrionaceae
Description: bacterial SSU rRNA
Rfam family: Bacterial small subunit ribosomal RNA
Source: RNAcentral